Molecule: ribosomal RNA, 278 nt
Filed under: uncultured bacterium
Lineage: Bacteria
Description: partial 16S ribosomal RNA
Rfam family: Bacterial small subunit ribosomal RNA
Source: RNAcentral
UGCCAGCAGCCGCGGUAAUACGAAGGGACCUAGCGUAGUUCGGAAUUACUGGUUUAAAGGGUCCGCAGGCGGUCAAUUAAGUCAGAGGUGAAAGCCCAUCGCUCAACGAUGGAACUGCCUUUGAUACUGAUUGACUUGAGUUAUAUGGAAGUAGAUAGAAUAAGUAGUGUAGCGGUGAAAUGCAUAGAUAUUACUUAGAAUACCGAUUGCGAAGGCAGUCUACUACGUAUAUACUGACGCUGAGGGACGAAAGCGUGGGGAGCGAACAGGAUUAGAUA